CCCCUCAAACAUAAAUUCAGGUUGAUUAGAGUUUGGGGCUUGCUGUAUCUCCUUAGUAGAUGACCUAAAAUCACAGUUCACUAAGUUCUUUUGUUUAAGGUUAUGACUUAGUGGUGAAAAAACAAACAAACAAACAAAAAUAGGAUCACUUGAGCCCAGGAGGUCAAGGCUGCAGUAAGCCAUAAUUGCACCACUGCACUCCAGUUAGAAACCACUUAGGUUCUUAGAAGAUGUGUUUCCAUAACACUGAGCAAAUCUUCAGUCUUCACUUAACAAUGUGACAAGUGUAUUGUUGGUUUGCAUGGAAGGGCUGAG
Molecule: long non-coding RNA, 315 nt
Filed under: Pan troglodytes (chimpanzee)
Lineage: Eukaryota; Metazoa; Chordata; Mammalia; Primates; Hominidae
Description: long non-coding RNA NONPTRT013702
Source: RNAcentral